GACGAACGCUGGCGGCGUGCUUAACACAUGCAAGUCGAACGGAAAGGCCCUGCUUUUGUGGGGUGCUCGAGUGGCGAACGGGUGAGUAACACGUGAGUAACCUGCCCUUGACUUUGGGAUAACUUCAGGAAACUGGGGCUAAUACCGGAUAGGAGCUCCUGCUGCAUGGUGGGGGUUGGAAAGUUUCGGCGGUUGGGGAUGGACUCGCGGCUUAUCAGCUUGUUGGUGGGGUAGUGGCUUACCAAGGCUUUGACGGGUAGCCGGCCUGAGAGGGUGACCGGCCACAUUGGGACUGAGAUACGGCCCAGACUCAUACGGGAGGCAGCAGUGGGGAAUAUUGCACAAUGGGCGGAAGCCUGAUGCAGCAACGCCGCGUGCGGGAUGACGGCCUUCGGGUUGUAAACCGCUUUCGCCUGUGACGAAGAGUGAGUGACGGUAAUGGGUAAAGAAGCACCGGCUAACUACGUG
This 468-nucleotide ribosomal RNA is filed under the name uncultured bacterium. RNAcentral's name for it is "partial 16S ribosomal RNA". It matches the Rfam family "Bacterial small subunit ribosomal RNA", at positions 28 to 507 of the family's 1533-position model. The record is from RNAcentral.